This 696-nucleotide ribosomal RNA is filed under the name uncultured bacterium. RNAcentral's name for it is "bacterial SSU rRNA". It matches the Rfam family "Bacterial small subunit ribosomal RNA", at positions 32 to 715 of the family's 1533-position model. The record is from RNAcentral.
AACGCUAGCUACAGGCUUAACACAUGCAAGUCGAGGGGAAACGAUAUUGGAAGCUUGCUUCCGAUAGGCGUCGACCGGCGCACGGGUGAGUAACGCGUAUCCAACCUGCCCAUCACUUGGGAAUAACCUUGCGAAAGUAAGACUAAUGCCCAAUGAUAUUUAUAGAAGGCAUCGGAAAUGAAUUAAAGAUUUAUCGGUGAUGGAUGGGGAUGCGUCUGAUUAGCUUGUUGGCGGGGUAACGGCCCACCAAGGCGACGAUCAGUAGGGGUUCUGAGAGGAAGGUCCCCCACAUUGGAACUGAGACACGGUCCAAACUCCUACGGGAGGCAGCAGUGAGGAAUAUUGGUCAAUGGACGAGAGUCUGAACCAGCCAAGUAGCGUGCAGGAUGACGGCCCUAUGGGUUGUAAACUGCUUUUAUAAGGGAAUAAAGUGAGUCUCGUGAGACUUUUUGCAUGUACCUUAUGAAUAAGGACCGGCUAAUUCCGUGCCAGCAGCCGCGGUAAUACGGAAGGUCCGGGCGUUAUCCGGAUUUAUUGGGUUUAAAGGGAGCGUAGGCCGGAGAUUAAGCGUGUUGUGAAAUGUAGACGCUCAACGUCUGCACUGCAGCGCGAACUGGUUUCCUUGAGUACGCACAAAGUGGGCGGAAUUCGUGGUGUAGCGGUGAAAUGCUUAGAUAUCACGAAGAACUCCGAUUG